Ruditapes philippinarum (Manila clam) is the source of this 465-nucleotide long non-coding RNA. RefSeq lists it as uncharacterized. The transcript is spliced from 2 exons. The record is from RefSeq and is a predicted model, not a curated record. Lineage: Eukaryota; Metazoa; Mollusca; Bivalvia; Venerida; Veneridae.
UUCUACUAAUAUGUCUCUCUUUCCUUUGGUUCAUGCACGCCGUUGAGAUGCAUAGGUCGAAGAUACGGCGAAAAAAAACUUAUAUCCGGCGGACCUGCUGCUGAUGUCCAAACGGAGGCCAGGAAAGUGGCCCUGCAAAGUCGAUGACGACAAGGAAUGCUACUAGAUUGUGUGAGGGCUAACUUAUCACUGUUUAUCUACUCAUUAUUGUAACAGACAUUUGUGAAGGACGGUAACCCCCGGGAUGCUGAAUGACACCCUCCUGCAGUAACCCCAUCCGCCAGAUGUGCACGUGCUGUGUAUUGUACCGUUAUGUGACAUCCAUGGAAUCUAAUUAUCUGGCACGCGUUGAGUGUAUGUUGCGCUCGUUUUGUCAUCCAAUGAUUAAACAGGACAAAGUAGAAAUGGCUGACAAUUCACUCGCAGACUGACAUGCUUAUGCUAAUAAAUCAAUGAAUAAGUGAU